UAAAAUUACAUUUUUUUGCAAUCUGGUCUUUCUGGCACAAGGGUGCGAUUUGCGCACCUACCCCCCGAUUUUUCGGCCACCGGCCUAAGGCAUGGCCCCUCUCCUCCCUAGCUACCUGCUCCCUGCAAAAAGAAGAAGAAAUCAGCAUAAAAGGGGAAUUUGUUCCCCAAAAAAAGAAACGAUCCAAGAAGCAAAAAAAAAACCAAGCAAUCUAAGAGAAAAAAACAAAAAAAAACAGCAAGCAAAAGGAAGCCAAAACAACAAAAAAAAUAACAUGGCCGUCCCCCACCUCUGCUGUGGCCACUGUUGUUCCACCUUUCCGAGCCCCUUACCAUCGCCACCUAAAAGCCAACAAAGCAACCAAAAAAGCAAGCAAAAAACUAAAAAAAAUAGCAACUGAAAUUAGAAAAAGAAAGAGAGAAGGAGAAGAGGUUGAGAGAACCACCGCCACCGCCAUCGUCGCAUCACCGGACGAAAC
Molecule: long non-coding RNA, 478 nt
Filed under: Gossypium raimondii (Peruvian cotton)
Lineage: Eukaryota; Viridiplantae; Streptophyta; Magnoliopsida; Malvales; Malvaceae
Description: long non-coding RNA (GRAI_LNC003085)
Source: RNAcentral